UGGCUUAUAGCUCAAUGGAUAAGAAUGCUACGCUACGAACGUAGAGAUAAAAGUUCGACUCUUUUUAAGCCAA
This 73-nucleotide transfer RNA is filed under the name Ferruginibacter sp. RNAcentral describes it as "tRNA-Arg". It matches the Rfam family "tRNA". Rfam says of the family: Transfer RNA (tRNA) molecules are approximately 80 nucleotides in length. Their secondary structure includes four short double-helical elements and three loops (D, anti-codon, and T loops). Lineage: Bacteria; Pseudomonadati; Bacteroidota; Chitinophagia; Chitinophagales; Chitinophagaceae. The record is from RNAcentral.